CAUUAGAUGGCUGAAAGUUAAGCAAUGGUCUCUUAAACCACUUUAUAAUAUUUAACAAAUAUUUCUAAUGA
This 71-nucleotide transfer RNA is filed under the name Deflorita sp. ZJZ-2017. RNAcentral's name for it is "tRNA-Lys". It matches the Rfam family "tRNA". Rfam says of the family: Transfer RNA (tRNA) molecules are approximately 80 nucleotides in length. Their secondary structure includes four short double-helical elements and three loops (D, anti-codon, and T loops). The record is from RNAcentral. Lineage: Eukaryota; Metazoa; Arthropoda; Insecta; Orthoptera; Tettigoniidae.